GACGAACGCUGGCGGCGUGCUUAACACAUGCAAGUCGAACGGAAAGGCCCUGCUUUUGUGGGGUGCUCGAGUGGCGAACGGGUGAGUAACACGUGAGUAACCUGCCCUUGACUUUGGGAUAACUUCAGGAAACUGGGGCUAAUACCGGAUAGGAGCUCCUGCUGCAUGGUGGGGGUUGGAAAGUUUCGGCGGUUGGGGCUGGACUCGCGGCUUAUCAGCUUGUUGGUGGGGUAGUGGCUUACCAAGGCUUUGACGGGUAGCCGGCCUGAGAGGGUGACCGGCCACAUUGGGACUGCGAUACGGCCCAGACUCCUACGGGAGGCAGCAGUGGGGAAUAUUGCGCAAUGGGCGGAAGCCUGAUGCAGCAACGCCGCGUGCGGGAUGACGGCCUUCGGGUUGAAAACCGCUUUCGCCUGUGACGAAGCGUGAGUGACGGUAAUGGGUAAAGAAGCAACGGCUAACUACGUG
Molecule: ribosomal RNA, 468 nt
Filed under: uncultured bacterium
Lineage: Bacteria
Description: partial 16S ribosomal RNA
Rfam family: Bacterial small subunit ribosomal RNA
Source: RNAcentral